RNAcentral lists this ribosomal RNA (406 nucleotides) under Cryptocercus clevelandi. RNAcentral describes it as "partial 16S ribosomal RNA". Lineage: Eukaryota; Metazoa; Arthropoda; Insecta; Blattodea; Cryptocercidae. The record is from RNAcentral.
CGCUGUUAUCCCUAAGGUAAUUUAGUCUUUUAAUCACUAAAAAUGGAUCAAAAAUAUAUAAAUAAAUAUAAAAAAAUAAAAAGAGUUAUUUUAAUCUUCCUAUCACCCCAACAAAAUUUACACAACAUUAAAUUUUGACCUACAAAAAAUAUUUAAAUAAAUUAAACUCUAUAGGGUCUUCUCGUCCCAAAAAAAUAUUUAGGCAUUUUAACCUAAAAUUUAAAUUCAACAUAAUAAAAAUCAAAGACAGUAGUUACCUCGUCAAACCAUUCAUUCCAGCCUACAAUUAAAAGACUAAUGAUUAUGCUACCUUUGCACGGUCAAAAUACCGCGGCCCUUCAAAUAAUCAGCGGGCAGGUCAUACAUCAUAAGUACAACAAAGAGAGAUGUUUUUGUUAAACAGGCG